Molecule: non-coding RNA, 77 nt
Organism: Aedes albopictus (Asian tiger mosquito)
Lineage: Eukaryota; Metazoa; Arthropoda; Insecta; Diptera; Culicidae
Source: Rfam
UGUUCUGUGGCGGAGUUGGUUAACGCGCCCUGUCUAGCGGACUUGGGGAGACGUGGGUUCGAUUCCCACCAGAACUA